This is a long non-coding RNA of Oxyura jamaicensis (ruddy duck), 820 nucleotides long. RefSeq lists it as uncharacterized. The transcript is spliced from 3 exons. The record is from RefSeq and is a predicted model, not a curated record. Lineage: Eukaryota; Metazoa; Chordata; Aves; Anseriformes; Anatidae.
CAAAGGCUUAGAGGGAGAGUUGCUUUGAUGUUGGUGUGGGGGUAGUGAUGUGCUUUCUCUGGUUUUCCCUACUGGCUCCUAAAUCCAUUGCCUUUCUUAGCCAGGCUGUUCCAGGUUACUCCAUCCUCCUACAAAGUCCUAUGUAAUAUGCGUGAGGCUCUGCCUGCUGAAGUGACCACUGUCCCAUGGAAGAGGCAAAUGUUUGUGUCUACUUCUAUGCUGCUGUUGGUAGGAGCAGUGAUAUGCUCUAUCAGGUGUUUAAUGACUUGGAGGACAUGUGAAAUACACACGUGUGUGACUAAAAGACUGAGUGUGGAGUGCAGAAGGAGGUAUUUAAGACCUAAUAAACUUCUCAUUUCACCCUUUCGUCCAGGGACCAGGGGAAGAAGAGAAAGGAGCCAAAAGCAGAAGGGCUGCAGCUGUAGGAGAGAGCCCUGAUGCCCUGACUUCUCCAGUCUGUGGAGCUCAGCGUUGAGAAACGCAGCUCCAGAUGCUCAGACCUGUUGUGGACACCUGAGGAGCUCACUGUGAUGUGUGUUGGAGGACUCCCCGGGACCCUACUAGCACAACACCAAGAUUUUUAUUCCUUGAAUUCCACCUUGACUCAUAAAAAUCUCACUGCGGGAAACUUGUUCAGCUCCUCUGAACAAAUUCACCUCCUUUGACUUGCUCCUACUGCUUCCACUGAUGCUACCACAGGAGAGUGGGGCGAAUGUUAAUUAAAAGGCAGAAAGUGUCCAGUCCAUCCCAAUGAAAGAAACGUAGCAAGGAGAAGCAGCUACUCCUUGAAAGGUGUCACAGGAUGGGCAUCGGCUUGGUC